AACAAAAUGUGUCUGUUCUAUGCUGCCAUCUUUUUUCAUUGCCUGUGCUUGGCCAACGCCAUCAACUUCACAACCGUCUACGAGUGGAAUGAAUUUGAUUUCGCCUGGCCAUCAGGAGCGAACAGCUCAAAUGGACAGAUUGGAAAUGUUUUUAAAUCAAAUAAUGUUUAUUUCCGAUACAUGGCAGUCUUUGAGGAAAGGCUGUUUCUAAGCCUUGAUAUCAAUUUCGGAAUUCCCGCAACACUGAUGUGGCUGCCAACGAUCGGCACGUCAACUGCCCCUCCAAAGCUUGCUCCUUUCCCAUCCUGGCAUUUACAUAAAAAAGACAACUGCGACGCUAUUCAGGCGGUCAAAGGUGUGGAAACGGACACUGAUGGUCGGUUGUGGGCGCUGGAUCUAGGUUGCAGAAAGUGUCCGAGCAAACUUUGGAUAUUCAACCUUCUCAACAACGACACAACCGACCGCGUUCACCAGUUUCCGGACACAGUUGUUGUCUCUCAUUCAAAUAAUAAAAUGUCCUUGCGUGGUAUAGUGCUGGACAAAACGCCAGACGAUUACCUUGCGUAUAUUGCGGACUUUUACUCUGAACACAUCGUAGUUUACAGCCGAAAAUUGGACAAAUCCUGGUUAGUUAAAACGCCAGGGAGAGAAUGGUUUUCCUUGGCAAUCUCUCCUAACAGGGAAGCGAGACAGUCGUUGUACCUGAGAAGAUAUGGUUCCAAAGACCUCUAUUCAGUGUUCGUGUCUGAGCUGAAGAAUGAAGGCGGACGCGCGUCUGUUCAAUUCAUCGGCGAAUUUAAUGAACCACCUUACAGAAUGUUGAUGGACAGUGCCAAUGUCUUGUAUGCAGCUUUUUUCGGCCAGAAUUACCUGUCCAAAUGGAAUACUUCGGAGCCCUUCCAUGAGCAGAAAUUUCAUGAGGUCUCUCUUUUAGGUCGGAAGUCUGGAUACUAGUUGGCCAUUUACCUUUUCCUUGGACGCGGACGAAACUUUAUGGGUGAUGGAGCGAAACAGAACUGGGGGUGAGGCUAGGCAUAAACUACUCAAGGCUGCAGUCGGCGCAAGAUCAUAGUUACUCACCUCAUCCACUGCCUUGACUUCGCCCUAAGCAUAAGGAACAACAUCAAUGACCACGUCUUCUCUCAGAUUCCUGUUUCUAAAAGACCAAACAAUGAAAAUUUUCUGCAGAAGACCCAACUUGGCAGAUUUUUACCACAAUUUCUACUCAGCACUCGUCUACCCUUCUCCUCACAAUGGAUAGAGACGGGAGUGUCAUGAUAAGCACGCUUUACAGUGGUCAACUUAUAAUAUUAUUUAAUUUCUCAUUGAGCACAAAAAUCUCUCAACAAACAGAUGCGUAAAAGCGAGACUAUAAUUAUAUAAUAUUCUGUGUUUCAUAUUAAUAAAUAGCAAAGUGAAAAAAAAACAAAAUAAAGCUUAACACAUUUUAAACUCUGUGGAUUAGAAUUCUAAAUGAUAAGAGUCCUUGAUAAAAUCUCAGGAAUCAAAAUUAAUUUUUUUAUUUUAAAUUUGCCACUUGCUGGUUUUCGCACCUUUUCAGCGGCGUUAGGGAGACAAAUGUCUGGCGUUUCAAUAAAAGUCCUCACUGUCAGUGCCGCGGCCACGUUCGGCCCAUUCUCCUCUGCGGCCACUCAGGCCUAAUUUGUCUGCUCGGCGGUGUUAUUGGGAACUGGUGAGCUCAUAGCCAGGCGGGAUGUGCUAAGUAGAAGUUGAUAAAUAUACUCGCGGUGUAAAAAAUUCAAAUUUUUUGCGUGUUAGGCACGUGAUUUUUCUUACAAGGUUAAUGAUGCGAUGUGCGAUUUAUCAAAGGCGAGAUAAAGAGCGAAAAAGUUCCGCCUUGGUUGGUUAAAAAGACCGAUUCAAAUCAUUCAAAGCCACUCCUUGACUUUGCUCUCGUUCGCUCCGGAUUUUCCUAAAAAGCUCGAACCCAAUGUCUUCGUUCUUUUUUGCCAUCUUUUUGCACGGCCUGUGCCUGGCCAACGCCAUCAACUUCACAACCGUCUACGAGUGGGAUGAAUUGGAUUUCGUCUGGCCAUCAGAAGCAAACAGUUCAAAUGGACAGAUUGAUCAAAAUUUUAAUUCAAUGGAUAUUUAUUUUCGAUACAUGGCUGUUUUUGAGGAAAGGCUGUUUCUAAGCCUUGAUUUGAAGACCGGAAUUCCCGCCACUUUGGUGUGGUUGCCAACGAGAAGCACGUCGACUGCACCUCCAAAGCUCACUCCUUUCCCGUCCUGGGAUUUACAC
Molecule: RNA transcript, 2263 nt
Organism: Cloeon dipterum
Lineage: Eukaryota; Metazoa; Arthropoda; Insecta; Ephemeroptera; Baetidae
Gene name: protein yellow-like
Exons: 5
Source: RefSeq, a predicted model, not a curated record